CUUCCCCGCUGUCUCUAGCAUCGACUCAGUGAAAUUGAAUUCCCCGUGAAGAUGCGGGGUUCCUGCGGUUAGACGGAGAGACCCCGUGCACCUUUACUAUAGCUUUGCACUGGCAUUCGUGACGACAUGUGUAGGAUAGGUGGUAGGCUUUGAAGCCGCGGCGCCAGCCGUGGUGGAGCCAUCCUUGAAAUACCACCCUUGCUGUUAUGGAUGUCUAACCGCGACCCGUUAUCCGGGCCCGGGACAGUGCAUGGUGGGUAGUUUGACUGGGGCGGUCGCCUCCCAAAGAGUAACGGAGGCGCGCGAUGGUGGGCUCAGAGCGGUCGGAAAUCGCUCGUCGAGUGUAAUGGCAUAAGCCCGCCUGACUGCGAGACAGACAAGUCGAGCAGAGACGAAAGUCGGCCAUAGUGAUCCGGUGGUCCCACGUGGACGGGCCAUCGCUCAACGAAUAAAAGGUACGCCGGGGAUAACAGGCUGAUGAUGCCCAAGCGUCCAUAGCGAC
Molecule: ribosomal RNA, 502 nt
Filed under: uncultured bacterium
Lineage: Bacteria
Description: bacterial LSU rRNA
Rfam family: Bacterial large subunit ribosomal RNA
Source: RNAcentral